GUUACAGACUUUGAGCAUUAACUUUACGACAUGAAACGACGUUAAGAUGAAGUCUCUACGACGACCAGAAUCCGAGAUAUAACAAUCUGAAGAAGUACAUCAAUGGUCAGAAUCACGAAGAAAUUCGAAUUCUGGCAGAUCAUAUAUCCGAAGAAAAAAAAGAAAAAAAUCCUUGAAUACAUGUUAGCUUAUUUCACGUAUAGAACCCAUAAUAAAUUUUA
Long non-coding RNA from Rhagoletis zephyria (snowberry fruit fly), 221 nucleotides. RefSeq lists it as uncharacterized. The record is from RefSeq and is a predicted model, not a curated record. NCBI's taxonomy places the organism in Eukaryota, Metazoa, Arthropoda, Insecta, Diptera, Tephritidae.